GGUGCCUUUUCUCCUUCAUUUUUUCUUCUGCCGCAUUCCUCUGGUUUGAUCCUCCGCAAACCAUUCGCCUCUUGCCCCGCCUGAUUUCUCCAGGAUUUUUAGUCUUUGUUUGAAAUGUCUUCCGGCACCUCCACCUCUAGUGGUUCUAGGAGUUCAUCCGCCUCAGCCCCCCAGAACCCCCAUACUGUAGACGAACCCACAUCUAGGGCUGGGCCUUGCCCGAUUUUUGUGUCG
This 234-nucleotide long non-coding RNA is filed under the name Elaeis guineensis (African oil palm). RNAcentral's name for it is "long non-coding RNA (EGUI_LNC054166)". Lineage: Eukaryota; Viridiplantae; Streptophyta; Magnoliopsida; Arecales; Arecaceae. The record is from RNAcentral.